CCUACGGGUGGCUGCAGUGGGGAAUAUUGGACAAUGGGCGAAAGCCUGAUCCAGCCAUGCCGCGUGUGUGAAGAAGGCCUUCGGGUUGUAAAGCACUUUCAGUGGGGAAGAAAGCCUUGGGGCUAAUACCCUCGAGGAAGGACAUCACCCACAGAAGAAGCACCGGCUAACUCCGUGCCAGCAGCCGCGGUAAUACGGAGGGUGCGAGCGUUAAUCGGAAUUACUGGGCGUAAAGCGCGCGUAGGCGGUCUGAUAAGCCGGUUGUGAAAGCCCCGGGCUCAACCUGGGAACGGCAUCCGGAACUGUCAGGCUAGAGUGCAGGAGAGGAAGGUAGAAUUCCCGGUGUAGCGGUGAAAUGCGUAGAGAUCGGGAGGAAUACCAGUGGCGAAGGCGGCCUUCUGGACUGACACUGACGAUGAGGUGCGAAAGCGUGGGUAGCAAACAGGAUUAGAUACCCGGGUAGUC
RNAcentral lists this ribosomal RNA (465 nucleotides) under Vreelandella stevensii. RNAcentral's name for it is "partial 16S ribosomal RNA". It matches the Rfam family "Bacterial small subunit ribosomal RNA", at positions 338 to 795 of the family's 1533-position model. Lineage: Bacteria; Pseudomonadati; Pseudomonadota; Gammaproteobacteria; Oceanospirillales; Halomonadaceae. The record is from RNAcentral.